GACGAACGCUGGCGGCGUGCUUAACACAUGCAAGUCGAACGGAAAGGCCCUGCUUUUGUGGGGUGCUCGAGUGGCGAACGGGUGAGUAACACGUGAGUAACCUGCCCUUGACUUUGGGAUAACUUCAGGAAACUGGGGCUAAUACCGGAUAGGAGCUCCUGCUGCAUGGUGUGGGUUGGAAAGUUUCGGCGGUUGGGGAUGGACGCGCGGCUUAUCAGCUUGUUGGUGGGGUAGUGGCUUACCAAGGCUUUGACGGGUAGCCGGCCUGAGAGGGUGACCGGCCACAUUGGGACUGGGAUACGGCCCAGACUCCUACGGGAGGCAGCAGUGGGGAAUAUUGCACAAUGGGCGGAAGCCUGAUGCAGCAACGCCGCGUGCGGGAUGACGGCCUUCGGGUUGUAAACCGCUUUCGCCUGUGACGAAGCGUGAGUGACGGUAAUGGGUAAAGAAGCACCGGCUAACUACGUG
RNAcentral lists this ribosomal RNA (468 nucleotides) under uncultured bacterium. RNAcentral describes it as "partial 16S ribosomal RNA". It matches the Rfam family "Bacterial small subunit ribosomal RNA", at positions 28 to 507 of the family's 1533-position model. The record is from RNAcentral.